RNAcentral lists this ribosomal RNA (253 nucleotides) under uncultured bacterium. Its description in RNAcentral is "partial 16S ribosomal RNA". It matches the Rfam family "Bacterial small subunit ribosomal RNA", at positions 524 to 776 of the family's 1533-position model. The record is from RNAcentral.
UACGGAGGGUGCAAGCGUUAUCCGGAUUCACUGGGUUUAAAGGGUGCGUAGGUGGGCAGGUAAGUCAGUGGUGAAAUCUCCGGGCUUAACCCGGAAACUGCCAUUGAUACUAUUUGUCUUGAAUACUGUGGAGGUCAGCGGAAUAUGUCAUGUAGCGGUGAAAUGCUUAGAUAUGAGAUAGAACACCAAUUGCGAAGGCAGCUGGCUACACAAAUAUUGACACUGAGGCACGAAAGCGUGGGGAGCAAACAGG